Molecule: long non-coding RNA, 850 nt
Filed under: Homo sapiens (human)
Lineage: Eukaryota; Metazoa; Chordata; Mammalia; Primates; Hominidae
Description: HSALNT0091733
Source: RNAcentral
CAGUGUAGAAAGCCCAGGCAUUGUCCCAUAGCUGGCCCUGUGUGUUUGCACUGAUUCCUCAGAAUAAGUUUGCAGAUAGCUUAACUUCCAGAAUUCCUGAGUUUCACUAGUCCCCCUUCUUUAUGAUGAAUUGGAAAAAGGGUAUAUUCUGGGAUAAAGCAAGAGGAAACUGGGUGCAGCAAAGAUCCCUAGACCAUUUUUCCCAGUGGCCCAUUGCUCCUGCUGCUUUUUUCAUACCAGCUGAAUCUCCCUAAACCCCACGUCUGCGGCAAAGUCUUCGUGGUGAAACAGGCAGUCUUCAGUACAAGAAGCGUCAAUCUCAGAUCUUACUCAUUUCCAACCUGUACCAAUCAAAGGCCCUCCCAGCCAAGAUAAAAGCAAAGUCUCCCUCCUCCAGAGCACAUGGGAAUGGCCCCCCAGUAGCUGGGGCAUGCAAGCUAAUGAAGUUUCAUCUUCCACCUCUAUCCAAAUAUGACCUUGCUGAUACCAUCUCCUAUUAGAUGACAAAUCCGGAUGUUUCUAUUGCAUGGUUGUUAUUUGCCACAUGCUUCCUGGACAAGUUUCUAGGUAACCUUAAUGUCUGUGCUUCUGGGGAAGGAGGAGUAGAAAAUAACUCACCUCUUCAGUAAGUGGUUUUAAAAAUAUAACAGUGUUUAAAAGCUUUUAGAGAGCAGCUCUCCUUCCGGCUGCUCCAGCUCUGUUUGCUUUGUGAUAGGAGCCCCCGUAACACUUCGUGCUUGGCAACAUCUGACGCAGCUGCCAUGUGUCAGGACACUCAGGCAGCCUGUGGAAAGCUGCACAUGGUGAGGAACAGAGGGCUCCAGUCAAACGACCAAUGCCAACAACCAUG